Long non-coding RNA from Brassica rapa (field mustard), 1918 nucleotides. RefSeq lists it as uncharacterized. The record is from RefSeq and is a predicted model, not a curated record. Lineage: Eukaryota; Viridiplantae; Streptophyta; Magnoliopsida; Brassicales; Brassicaceae.
CUUUCUAAAAAUCUAAUUUUUUUUGGUUAUUUGGAAAAUAAGCACGUAGAUUUAGGAAUGAACAAAAAAAACGAACCAAAUCAAAACGAACCAAAUCAAACCAAACCGAUCCAAAUCAAACCAAAUCUGUGUCUAAACCAUUUGGUUAAAAAUUUAUCAAUCCAAAUGGUUCAGUUUUAACCGAACCGCUGAAUUUUUCAAAACUAGAUUAACUAAAUACACUAAUAAUAUUAAAAUUUAAGAUAUUUAACAUUUAACCUAAACACCUAAAUAUAAUUUCAUACAUUAUAGUUCUAUAUGAAUAGUAGAAACACAGCUAAGAUAACAAUAAAAGAGUAUGAAUCUCAUACAUCACUAUCAAAACAGAAAAAAUACGUAUAAUAAUUAUAUUAGGUUUGAAGAUAAAAAUAUAAAAUUAUUAGAUUACAUCUUCCAUAUUUUUAUUGUGAUGCUUGGCUUUAUGUUAAAAUAUGAAAAAAUAUUGAUUUGGUGUCAGGUGAUGCUUUAUUCUAUAUUCUUAUAAAUUAUAUUUUUAUAACCGAAUUAGAACAAAACUAAAAAAAAAACAACUCGAUUGAAUUGAACAGAAACAACAAAAACCAUAUUAAACCGACCCAAACACAAACCAAACAGAACUAAAAUCAAACAAAACACUACAAGAAAAAGAUCUCUUACCCAACAACGACAAUCCUCGCAGAACCGUCGGAACUGAUGAUAUCCGGUGACUUUCCGAGAACCUGCAAACUGUUAGCGUUUUGUUCUCGCUAAACUUAUGAUCAUAAGUUUCUGAAAUAUUUCUCGGGAACUUAUCGGCUAACUCCGAGGAGUUUCAUUUCGACAAUCAGAUUUGUUAGAACGACGUCAGUAACUUCCGACAUAAUUGGUUGUCGGUAACAGUUCUCGUCGAGAAACCAUAUGAACAUAACGAGAUAUUCUGAGGAGGCGAUUACAUAUAAAAGAAUCAUGGGAAAAUAUAUUCAUCAAUAAUUACCAUAUAUAUCGUAUUAAUUGUUAUCUAAAUUACUUUACAUAUAUUAAAACGGCUGUUUAUAAAUACAAAAUAUAUUGUUUCCUUAUUUUUUGGAUAUUUUAUUGAUUUGUUUAACAACAAUAGAUAUUUAUUGAUAAAGCUAAUAAAAACCAUUUGGAUAUUUAGCCCAAAAAUUAAAAGGUCACUAAUCAUUACAAUUUUUAUAAUAUUAUUUGAGAAGUCAAUUAAGUUUAAUUUAUUUCAGACAUCUUCUUUCUUAAUAGAAAGGAAACUAUGUGAUUGUACCUUUUGAUAGUUAUACAAUUUUUUAUUUCUACAAAAAUAUUCGCAUAAUUUUAUGAAAUUUUUUACAAUAUAAGCAUUAAUCCUAAUACUAUUUAAAUGCUUCAAACAUCAUAAAUAAACAACUGAUUCUCAUAAAUCUAAACUAGUAUAAACUAUGAACAUAAAUCAUAAAUAAACAACUGAUAAGUAUCAGUCAAUCAUUCAUCAUGCACAAAAAAAUAUUUUUGUUCAUAAAAAUUAUGUAUUUUCUUUGUAGGAAAAAAAUUUGCAUGACUUCCAGCCAAAAAAUUGUUCUUUUUUAGAUAGAUGCAAGAUCAAAAUAAACAUUAUGAGAUUUUUGGAAAAAAUAUUAAAGAAUUUGUUUCUAUUGAGAUGAUCUAGUUUUGACUGAUGAUGAGAUAAUUUUUAAAACUCAUAUCUUCAACUUCUAAUAAUCCUACAAUUAUAAAAGUCAAAAUUCAACAACCAAAGGUAAUGAAUUGUUAAAAAGUUCGAGAAAAAUUGGUAAAAGUUAAUCCAAAGUAAUUAACACAUUUAAGAUCAAUUUCUAUACUAAAUAACUAUUAUGGCCAAGUUGAAUAUAUUGCACAAAAAAACAUCAUAUAUUCCGACUAUUUAAAUUGAUGUUUUCUUGUAGUGAAA